UGGGGAAUAUUGCACAAUGGGGGAAACCCUGAUGCAGCGACGCCGCGUGAAGGAUGAAGUAUUUCGGUAUGUAAACUUCUAUCAGCAGGGAAGAAAAUGACGGUACCUGACUAAGAAGCCCCGGCUAACUACGUGCCAGCAGCCGCGGUAAUACGUAGGGGGCAAGCGUUAUCCGGAUUUACUGGGUGUAAAGGGAGCGUAGACGGUAUGGCAAGUCUGAUGUGAAAACCCGGGGCUCAACCCCGGGACUGCAUUGGAAACUGUCGGACUAGAGUGUCGGAGAGGCAAGUGGAAUUCCUAGUGUAGCGGUGAAAUGCGUAGAUAUUAGGAGGAACACCAGUGGCGAAGGCGGCUUGCUGGACGAUGACUGACGUUGAGGCUCGAAAGCGUGGGGAGCAAACAGG
This 404-nucleotide ribosomal RNA is filed under the name uncultured bacterium. Its description in RNAcentral is "bacterial SSU rRNA". It matches the Rfam family "Bacterial small subunit ribosomal RNA", at positions 355 to 776 of the family's 1533-position model. The record is from RNAcentral.